Molecule: ribosomal RNA, 253 nt
Filed under: uncultured bacterium
Lineage: Bacteria
Description: partial 16S ribosomal RNA
Rfam family: Bacterial small subunit ribosomal RNA
Source: RNAcentral
UACAGAGGGGGCAAGCGUUGUUCGGAAUUACUGGGCGUAAAGGGCGCGUAGGCGGCCUGUUAAGUCGAACGUGAAAUCCCCGGGCUCAACCCGGGAACUGCGUCCGAUACUGGCAGGCUUGAAUCCGGGAGAGGGAUGCGGAAUUCCAGGUGUAGCGGUGAAAUGCGUAGAUAUCUGGAGGAACACCGGUGGCGAAGGCGGUUCUCUGGGCCUUACCUGACGCUGAGGAGCGAAAGCGUGGGGAGCGAACAGG